RNAcentral lists this ribosomal RNA (395 nucleotides) under uncultured prokaryote. Its description in RNAcentral is "partial 16S ribosomal RNA". The record is from RNAcentral.
CCCUACGGGGUGCUGUUCACUCGGGCGGCCACGAGCGCUGCUACGAGAUGCUGGGAGUUCCUCUCCGUAGGAGCCGCCCAACUGACUACGGCACUAUCGCAGAAGUACCCCACUGUUCCUCAGCGUUACACAGUCAUAUCGGGUUUUACCGAUGGCAUAUACGCUCUGGGUCUUCAUAAGGUUGAGUUGAGCAGACUUGAGGUAUUCGGCAACACCGCCUAUGGCAUUAACUCAUACUACGACAACAUCGGAACAGGGAUGGGUGUGAUCAGGAAUUGCCUGAUUCGUGACAAUGGCACCGCCGGUAUUCGCCUUAUGGAUAGUCCAACGCUAGUAGAGAACUGCACAUGUGUGGGUAAUCCGAUCGGGCUGUACAGCGGAAUGGGCGGGAGGGC